GCCCCGCUAGCUCAGCCUGGUUAGAGCGUCUCAUUGGUAAUGAGAAGGUCGCGAGUUCGAAGCUCGCGCGGGGCUCCA
RNAcentral lists this transfer RNA (78 nucleotides) under Candidatus Freyarchaeota archaeon. RNAcentral describes it as "tRNA-Thr". It matches the Rfam family "tRNA". Rfam says of the family: Transfer RNA (tRNA) molecules are approximately 80 nucleotides in length. Their secondary structure includes four short double-helical elements and three loops (D, anti-codon, and T loops). Further hydrogen bonds mediate the characteristic L-shaped molecular structure. tRNAs have two regions of fundamental functional importance: the anti-codon, which is responsible for specific mRNA codon recognition, and the 3' end, to which the tRNAs corresponding amino acid is attached (by aminoacyl-tRNA synthetases). tRNAs cope with the degeneracy of the genetic code in two manners: having more than one tRNA (with a specific anti-codon) for a particular amino acid; and 'wobble' base-pairing, i.e. permitting non-standard base-pairing at the 3rd anti-codon position. RNAcentral also lists the same sequence under 1 other name. Lineage: Archaea; Promethearchaeati; Candidatus Freyarchaeota. The record is from RNAcentral.